GCCUGGGUGGCUCAGUGGUUGAGCAUCUGCCUUCAGCUCAGAGAGUAAUCCCAGGAUCUGGGAUUGAGCCCCACACCAGGCU
Molecule: transfer RNA, 82 nt
Filed under: Canis lupus familiaris (dog)
Lineage: Eukaryota; Metazoa; Chordata; Mammalia; Carnivora; Canidae
Also listed under: 3 other names
Rfam family: tRNA
About the family: Transfer RNA (tRNA) molecules are approximately 80 nucleotides in length. Their secondary structure includes four short double-helical elements and three loops (D, anti-codon, and T loops).
Source: Rfam by way of RNAcentral